UGCCCCGUGGUGUAGUGGUAGCACAGAGGACUUUGGAUCCUUUGACCCAGGUUCGAGUCCUGGCGGGGCAGCCA
Molecule: transfer RNA, 74 nt
Filed under: Chloroflexota bacterium
Lineage: Bacteria; Bacillati; Chloroflexota
Also listed under: 1 other name
Description: Chloroflexi bacterium tRNA-Gln
Rfam family: tRNA
About the family: Transfer RNA (tRNA) molecules are approximately 80 nucleotides in length.
Source: RNAcentral